GCAUAUCACUAAGCGGAGGAAAAGAAACUAACAAGGAUUCCCUUAGUAACUGCGAGUGAAGAGGGAAAAGCCCAGCACCGAAGGUAGUAUCCAUUUGGGUAUCUACCAAUGUGGUGUUAAGGUCAGCUCGCGUAGGUGCGGCUCCAUCUCAAGUCCAGCAAUGAGUACGGCUAUGGACUGAGCCCAGAGCGGGUGAAAGGCCCGUUGAGGUGGAGUUCAGAAAUGACCGCGCCUAUCGUGUUUGACCAUGGAGUCGGGUUGUUUGUGAAUGCAGCCCUAAGCGGGUGGUAAACUCCAUCCAAGGCUAAAUACUUACACGAGUCCGAUAGCGAACAAGUACCGUGAGGGAAAGUUGAAAAGUACUUUGAAGAGAGAGUAAACAGUGCGUGAAGCCGCAUAGAGGUUAAACGGGUAGAGUUAAACUGCGUGGGUCAUGGAUUCAGCCGAUGAAUGUGACUUGUGCUUGGACAAAUUGAUUCGUCUUCAGAGUCUGCUUAGCUGCAGGUCCCAUCCGGGAUUCACGAAGCACUUACCAAGUGUUGUGCGCUCUGUUGAUGAGAUGUCAGUUCGUCGGUGCACUUCCAUGACUCCUUGACCACGAUCGGUGUCAUUGGACUGUCCUCGUUGUCAAACUGUGGAUGUAGAAUUUUCUAUGUCUUCGGUGUGGUAGCACCCCUGUGUAUGCAGGUCGCAGUUGUCUUCGAGAUACAAGCUGAUGGACCGGGGCGACGGCCUUGGCGUGCUCUUAUACCCUCUGAUAGAUUGUGUUGGGUAUGGUUUUUGUGUGCUUGUGUAAGCAGGCCCAUUGACUACUCAGUGUUUUCUAUUAGUGUGGUGUCGGGGUGGCCAAUUUUGAGGGCCAAAGUCAGUGGUGUGUGGUAAACUUUCUACCCGA
This 895-nucleotide ribosomal RNA is filed under the name Transversotrema sp. 1 JAH-2009. Its description in RNAcentral is "eukaryotic LSU rRNA". It matches the Rfam family "Eukaryotic large subunit ribosomal RNA", at positions 38 to 647 of the family's 3401-position model. Lineage: Eukaryota; Metazoa; Platyhelminthes; Trematoda; Azygiida; Transversotrematidae. The record is from RNAcentral.